GGCGGAGAGCCAACGUCUAUUGC
This 23-nucleotide transfer RNA is filed under the name Cordia spinescens. Its description in RNAcentral is "partial tRNA-His". The record is from RNAcentral. Lineage: Eukaryota; Viridiplantae; Streptophyta; Magnoliopsida; Boraginales; Cordiaceae.